CUCAGCCUAGUCAAAACCCCGCUAGUGCCUGCAGGGAAAUGGCUUUUUAUCAAGGCAACUUUACAAUUUUUCAUCCUCAGCUUCAAGAACUGUCAAGUGUAUGGGAUUUAGCUAAGGUGUUCUUCAAGGAAACUAAAAAGCUACAAGUAUUAUUACUAAAAACGCUGCUUCCUCCCCACUGUGAAGAAAAAUGGCUGAAAAGAAAGGUGAAGUAAUCCAGCUGUUAGUGUCUUGAUUUUCAGUCAUCUGUUUACACAGACCUACUAUUCAGAAUAAGAGAGAAGUUCAAUUGGAAGGAAUCUGGAAAAAUCAUCAAAUUCAACUGCUUGACCCCUUCAGGGCUAACUAAAAGCUAAGGCGUAUUAAUGAGGGCACUGUCCAAAUGCGUAUUAAACAUGGAUAGAUGUGAGCAUCAUCAUGGAACUUGUCUGGUGUUGUUCUGUCAUGGUAAAGAAAUUUUGCCUAAUUGAACCUCCUUCUCUGGCAAACACUCACCUCUAAAUACAACUGCUAGAUUUUCGUUCCCAAUGCUUUUGUUUUGGCAUGUACCCCUCUAUACGUUGUGAAAACUGAUAUUAAAAUUUGCUAAUAUUAAUCCUAAGAAAUAAAAGUGAGAUAUUUAGAUUUUGGUUGUAAGGCACAUUUGGGAUGUCAUGGCACACAAGUCACAUUUUUUAUUCACCUUUCAUCUUAAAAGCAAGAAACUGAAAUUAUUAACUUGCUAUUAUAUGUUCACGGAAAAUAAUUUCCAGAUUUGUAUUGAGAAUGAAUAAUCAUGGUAUCAUGAGAUUUGGAAUAUUUUCUGAAUCUUGUCGAAAGACGAUAACAGGAUAAUCUGAAAUAUUGCAGAAACAUCUAUUUUGGGGUCUUCUGGGGGAUGCUCAUCACAUGUUGAAAAGAUAAGAUGGUAUGUGAGUUAAGAGUAAUCCAUACUGAGUUUUAAAACAACUGUUAGAGAUAAUUACCAAUAGAAACAAGCCUAAUUCAAGUCAAGUAGGGUUCAGUAUUCAGUCUCUUCUCAGCAAGAAUAGGCCAUACAAAAGGGAAGAUAUUUUGGUCCUUUCUGGCUGAAUUUCUUUGUUCAUUUUUCAUGAAUUUGAUGUUUUUGUGUUGUUGUUGUUGUUUUUUUUUCCCCUUGAUUAUUGUAUUAGUAAACAAAAUGCAAUUUGGUUGAAUGUUGCUUUUUCUUCACUCUCUUUUUUUCUGAACUCUGAAUAAGAAAUCUUUCAUGGCUGCUGUAUUACUGCAUGG
This is a long non-coding RNA of Gallus gallus (chicken), 1251 nucleotides long. NCBI's taxonomy places the organism in Eukaryota, Metazoa, Chordata, Aves, Galliformes, Phasianidae. The record is from Ensembl.